This 2031-nucleotide long non-coding RNA is filed under the name Salmo salar (Atlantic salmon). RNAcentral describes it as "lncRNA (ENSSSAG00000064099.2)". The record is from RNAcentral. Lineage: Eukaryota; Metazoa; Chordata; Actinopteri; Salmoniformes; Salmonidae.
UUAGAUUUGAGAAGGGUCAGUGCUAUCCGGGAUCAUUGGGAAGUCCCUACAUCAUUGAAGUGGACAUUUAAAACGGUUAAUGGUAAGGUUAAGGUGAGGGUUUAGUGUAGGGACGUCCCAAGGACCCCGGAUAGCAUUGGCCGUUUGAGAAGUGCGCUCCUCUCACUGCUUUUGCCGGUUCACUGUAACGGGCCAUAGACCUGUGCACCGCAUAUCAGGUUAAUAGAACGGCCUCAAAAGCGAUUAAGGAAAGUUUCCAACCGUGUCACGGCGGUCAAAGCACCUAUUUCCCCUAAAACCUUUGUCGCGUUAAAAAAAAAAAAGGCAAUUCGGAUGCAUCCGUCUUCAGUGCGUCCACGACAACUGGGAACUCGGAAAGAAAUAGCUCCGACUGAGUAAAAUCGUUUUGAACGGUCAUCCAAAGAAAAUCACUGACGUCAUGAUUUGACCACGUUUUGUACGAGUUACCAGUUGACUUGAAAGCACCAUACAUUCUCGGAGCUACACUAGAGGACACGGUUAUCGGUAAUAUUACAGCAACAAAGCCAUCCGGACGCGUGGAGGCAAACUGAGAAUGACUACCACAUGAGCGAGAAUACCGGGGAGAGGCUCAUUUAACGGUAUUUCUCCGGUAUAGGCUAAGCGGUAGAGUCUACAGACAAAAAUAGAAGACAAUAUGAUAAGCAGAUCAUCUUUUGCUGACUCGAAUAUUCUACACACUGUCAGUCAACAACAAUAGAAUGUAGUUUUAUAUGUCCUAUUCUCUUCACGUUUCCUGCUAUUGUUCAGUAACAACGAUACUACUGCUGCUGACUCGUCCUCUGGCUUUGCAGCAUCCAAAGCAGAUCACUCAGGGGAUGAGGGCUCUUUGGCGCAGUCCGUGAGAGAUGAGGUGAAAGCUGGAUUAGUUAAAUAAGGACCCUCGGUAAAUCUUACGGAGAAACAGGGGACAGUAGCGGGGCUAACCUCUGCGGACAAACCGGAGGAGGACAGUGAAUGCCGAUUCGUGGGGAAGAUAACGGAUCCGGUGGCAGCGGACAGGAGGACAGUUUGGGAGGAGGGGAUCCACGCUGCUGAAGUUAGGAUCCACGCUGGCGCGCACGAGGAAAAUGUGAAAUCUGGCAUGUCUGGCCAACAGUGCUGUAACUCAAAUCCUGCCUCAGCGCCGGUGGACAUUCCAUGAAGUGACUUUGGUCACCUACAGUUCCCUGAGGGGUGGUCUUUUCUCUUAGCAGAUAUGGAAGAAGUGGACGCAGAAUAUGCGCCCAUGAAAUACGCCCCCAGGAUGCUGCGGACCAGACAGAUGGAGAUGAUGAAGAGCUGGAGAAGGAACAGAGGUGAGGGCAGCAGAGUGGACACUCAGAUUCGUAAACCUUUGUGAUUUUCCCAGGGUGCAACGGGAGCAGCUGGCAGCCAUCUUCCAGCUGCUGAAGGAGAACCAGGAGAUGUUUGGGGAGAUGUCAGAGGGAGACAUGGAGGAGCAACUCUACUCCAUCUAAACCCCUAGUCUACUCACAGUCGACUGUACUACGUCUAACUCUACUUUUCCCAAACUCUACUCUAUGUUAAUCCCACAUAAAACUGACAAUCAAGACCAAGGUGCAUUCACACGGUCCACUGGGUUUCAAAGGGGGUGUUGUUUCAAAGGUCCACUCUAUUUUGAGGCACAUACUCUUCUCUAAAGAUUCUGAGGUGAUAGCUAAUCAGGCUUUGGAUAGUUGGGCCUGAGUGAUUUGAUUGGUCUGGUAAAAUCUGAGGUUCUUAUACCGUAGACACCCAUGAAAGCCAACAGUUUCAGCAAGCCUCACAUCAAACACUUAUCUGGACAGAUCUUACUCCUUUCAGCUAUUCCUUGCCUUGCCUCGGCCGUAUCCUUAUCUCACCCUUUCCUAUGGAGCACCCUUUCCCUCUAGACCCCUCUGUUUGAACAAACACAUCAUUGGUGCGAACACAAACAUGUACGUUAGAUACUUCAACACGGCUUCUGCUGUUUAUUACUUUUAAAUACCAUUCAAAGCAAUAAACACUGUA